RNAcentral lists this ribosomal RNA (253 nucleotides) under uncultured bacterium. RNAcentral describes it as "partial 16S ribosomal RNA". It matches the Rfam family "Bacterial small subunit ribosomal RNA", at positions 524 to 776 of the family's 1533-position model. The record is from RNAcentral.
UACGGGGGGAGCAAGCGUUGUUCGGAUUUACUGGGCGUAAAGGGCGCGUAGGCGGCGCAACAAGUCACUUGUGAAAUCUCCGGGCUUAACCCGGAGCGGCCAAGUGAUACUGUCGUGCUAGAGUGCGGAAGGGGCUACUGGAAUUCUCGGUGUAGCGGUGAAAUGCGCAGAUAUCAGGAAGAACACCCGUGGCGAAGGCGGCUCUCUGGGACGGUACUGACGCUGAGACGCGAAAGCGUGGGGAGCGAACAGG